AUGGGAGCGCUCGAGGAGGCCCACCUCGCCACUGUCGCCGCGUGCGUGUGCGACGACGACCAGGAGGAGGAUCUUCUGGUGGAGCUCGGCGACGGGAAGGCGCCGGGGAACAUCAUGGAGCUAACGGUGCGCGCGCUGCUAGUGGGGAUCGGCGAUGACGACCGCCGAGAGGGGCUGCGCAGGACGCCCAAGAGCGUCGCCCGCCAUUGCUGUGCCGUCAACGGCUGCUGCCGGUACGUGCUCCGCCUCCUCUUCUCCUCUCUCCCCACCACGGCCUCAUCCGCGCAUGCGGGAGCUCUUGUUCCGGUCGAAUGGGGUGCAGUUUCUGUUGCUCUGGAGAUUCGAUUUGAUUCGAUUCUCCCCUCCUGCGCACAUCUUGUGUUCUCUUCAUCAACCACUGUCUACGGGUGGCCCAAGGAAGUGCCCUGCACCGAGGAGUUCCCACUCUCCGCGACCAACCCUUACAGCCGAACAAAGCUUGUCAUUGAAGAUAUCUCCCAUGACCUCCAGUGCUCGAACCCUGACUGGAAGAUCAUACUGCUGAGGAACUUCAACCCGGUCGACGCUCACCCGAGUGGCUACAUCGGGGACGACCCACUUGGAGUCCCCAACAACCUGAUGCCCUAUGUGCAGCAAGUCGCUGUUGGGAGGCAGCCUGCGCUGACGGUUUAUGGGACUGACUACAACAAGAAGGAUGGAACAGGGGUAUGUGCAGCAGUUUUCACAAGCGACCACACAUUAUCAGGGGCAGGAUGCACUUAA
Molecule: ribosomal RNA, 762 nt
Filed under: Triticum aestivum (bread wheat)
Lineage: Eukaryota; Viridiplantae; Streptophyta; Magnoliopsida; Poales; Poaceae
Description: partial small subunit ribosomal RNA
Source: RNAcentral